Molecule: long non-coding RNA, 1042 nt
Organism: Cyprinus carpio carpio
Lineage: Eukaryota; Metazoa; Chordata; Actinopteri; Cypriniformes; Cyprinidae
Source: Ensembl
AAAGAAUGGUCUCAUCAACAGUUCACCAAUUAAAUGCCCAUAGUUACAAAGAGAUCAUUAUAAAGCUUACCUUAACAGAAGGGACAAGCCCCACAGCAAAUCAGUGCAUACAAAUUCAUAAAGCAAGUGACAAACCAAAAAGAAACUACAGCAAAAGAAACAAAUACACUCUCCCCUUCUGUUAAGCUUCAGUAUCACAGCUUGUCAAACAUUCACCUCGGUCCAGCACCGUGAUGGCCACACAGUCAGCUGCAUGCACAGGAAAAUGAAACCGUAGGAUCAGACAGUAUACAAAAACAGCCGUAAGAACAACCGUAGAUGAAACCAGUGUAAGAAACAGUAGAUACAGGGUUAUGAAACAAUAGCUAGCACUCUCAGGCCACACCUAAAAUACAAAUAAAACACGAAUAGACAUCCACUUUAAAACAAUCCCAGUGUCUUCCCAUUGGAAAUAUGCAAAGAUUAAAAUGGAAACUGAUUCAAAUGAAUCCACAAACCAUAAUAAAUCUCAUCCGGUCACAUAUUGAUUUAGAGUCCUGUUUAAGGUUCCAUGUUUGGGUUAUAAUUGCCUCUUUUUCUAUUGACGUAGACUUCUUUCAGCGCUGUUCCACUUUUUUGUAUGUCAAAAUUUUCGUGUAGGUAUAUAUUUCUUUUAACAUAAUUUUUUGUGCAUGUAUAGUCUUUGUACUUUGUAUAUUUUGGUGUAUAUUAGGUUUUGAAUAUUGUUUCGUAUAUUUAAAUGCCAUUCACUCUUCAGUUUAACUGAUUAGUUUUAAUCAAAUUAUUAUGUUGGCUUGGCACAAGAGAGUCUGAGACUAAAUUAGCAAACCUAUCUCCUCCUAGGGCUUUAAAGCCACAAGCCCCAAACUCGGCAGAGACCUGCGGCACUGGGUGUAGUUUGUUGCUAUAUCUUUUCAGACUGAUCAGACUUACAUUUUUUUAUUAUUAAUUAUUAAAAGUCAGAAAUUUCCCAUAGACUCCCAUUGUCUGAGAAAAAUUGCGCCUCUACAAGAGCAAUUCCCGGGACUGAGGGAGGAGUCUG